RNAcentral lists this small nuclear RNA (24 nucleotides) under Arabidopsis thaliana (thale cress). Its description in RNAcentral is "snRNA_10202". Lineage: Eukaryota; Viridiplantae; Streptophyta; Magnoliopsida; Brassicales; Brassicaceae. The record is from RNAcentral.
AUAAAUAACACUAUACACUUUUCU